Long non-coding RNA from Bos taurus (domestic cattle), 464 nucleotides. The record is from Ensembl. Lineage: Eukaryota; Metazoa; Chordata; Mammalia; Artiodactyla; Bovidae.
AUGAUGUAUCUGGCCCCAUUCUGGGCGCUGUGAUCUAGCCGAGAACUAGGCAGCAAGGUGCCUACCAUCAAGGAGACUGCAUUCUAGUGUGGGGUGAAAGAUACCAAAGGAAGCCAAGAAGUCCAUAAGAUAAUUUCAUCUCAGGUGAGGAGAAUGUUAAAAAUGAUCUUACGUGAAAUCUGACUAAGUGAGGACCAUACCUCCAAUGUCUAAGGAACAGUUUUAGGCUCUCUGGAUUUAACUGUGGUAAAGAAACUGCCUGCCAGUGCAGGAGACAUAAGAGACACUUGUGUGAUCCUGGGUUGGGAAGAUUCCCUGGAGGAGGGCAUGGCAACCCACUCCAGUAUUCCUGCCUGGAGAAUCCCUUGGACAGAGGAGCCUGGCAGGCUACAGUCCAUAGGGUCGCAGAGAGUCAGACACGACUGAAACAACUUAGCAAAGCAAAUAAAAUAUUCAUGUUUUGA